Molecule: transfer RNA, 83 nt
Filed under: Cotesia glomerata
Lineage: Eukaryota; Metazoa; Arthropoda; Insecta; Hymenoptera; Braconidae
Description: tRNA-Thr
Rfam family: tRNA
About the family: Transfer RNA (tRNA) molecules are approximately 80 nucleotides in length. Their secondary structure includes four short double-helical elements and three loops (D, anti-codon, and T loops).
Source: RNAcentral
GUCUCGGAUAGCUUAACAGAUAUUUAUAUAUAGAGCCUUUGGCGCGUAACCAAAAGAUCCAGGUUCGAGUCCUGGUCUGGGCC